AUCCCUUUAACUCGAUGAAUAGUGUGUGUAUUGGACUUCUAAUCCAAAGGGCGUAGGUUCGAAUCCUACCUGGGAGG
This is a non-coding RNA of Trichonephila clavipes, 77 nucleotides long. The record is from the annotation of a GenBank genome assembly. Lineage: Eukaryota; Metazoa; Arthropoda; Arachnida; Araneae; Nephilidae.